Molecule: ribosomal RNA, 465 nt
Filed under: Vreelandella stevensii
Lineage: Bacteria; Pseudomonadati; Pseudomonadota; Gammaproteobacteria; Oceanospirillales; Halomonadaceae
Description: partial 16S ribosomal RNA
Rfam family: Bacterial small subunit ribosomal RNA
Source: RNAcentral
CCUACGGGGGGCUGCAGUGGGGAAUAUUGGACAAUGGGCGAAAGCCUGAUCCAGCCAUGCCGCGUGUGUGAAGAAGGCCUUCGGGUUGUAAAGCACUUUCAGUGGGGAAGAAAGCCUUGGGGCUAAUACCCUCGAGGAAGGACAUCACCCACAGAAGAAGCACCGGCUAACUCCGUGCCAGCAGCCGCGGUAAUACGGAGGGUGCGAGCGUUAAUCGGAAUUACUGGGCGUAAAGCGCGCGUAGGCGGUCUGAUAAGCCGGUUGUGAAAGCCCCGGGCUCAACCUGGGAACGGCAUCCGGAACUGUCAGGCUAGAGUGCAGGAGAGGAAGGUAGAAUUCCCGGUGUAGCGGUGAAAUGCGUAGAGCUCGGGAGGAAUACCAGUGGCGAAGGCGGCCUUCUGGACUGACACUGACGCUGAGGUGCGAAAGCGUGGGUAGCAAACAGGAUUAGAUACCCUAGUAGUC